CAUAAUCUCACCCACACCUAUAGCUUCACCUACAACUUUUAUUCUUAUACCUGUCAAAUCUGCAUUUCUCAGCCCAGAUUUCUAGCCAUCUCCAGAACAUUUCUCAUAUGUUGCAAUGGAAUGUCAAGCUGAACAAGUGCAAUCCUGAAUACAUUAUUCUUCCCCUAAAACUUGCCCCUUGUUCUGUAUUCUCUGUAUUAUUAUGGCUCUAUUAUUGCCUAUGUUUGUUUAAGUCAGAAACCUAGGAGUUUUUUUCUCUCUCCCUCUUAACCCCAUCAUCUUAGUUCACCCAGCUCUAUUACUUUAACUUAAACUGCCCUGUCCUCUGUUCUCUCCACCCAUACUUUCCUCGUUCAGGCCCUCUCUUUUUUUGUGUGGUGCUGAGGGUGGAUCCCAGGCACUCUACCACUGAGAUACAGUGCCAAACCUUCGUUCUUGCUAGACUCCUACUGGAGCUUUCUUUCUGAUCUCCUACUUCCAUAAUAAGAUUCAAACUCCCUAGUGUGCCACACAAGGCCUUUCAUGUUUUGCUCCCUUUGUACCUGUUGAGUCUUAAACCCCAUGCUCUAGCUAUGCAAGCUAAGUGGAGUUCCUGAAAAGACCAUAGUUUCUCAAGCCUCACUGCUUUUGUACCCACUCUCUUCCACUUCCUCUCCUUGAUCACCUUUUCUUGACUUUCAAGAACCAGCCUGGGCCUUAAGGCCUAAAUCAAGUCUUUAACUUCUCUUCUUGAUCUUACCAUAGCUUCUGUGUUUACCUAGACCUCAUUUUCUCUGAUUAUAACUAUCUUCUCCAUUCCCACCCUUAACUGUACUCUGAGGGCAGAUACUGUGUCUUUUUAUCUUUAUCUUCCAAGAAUCUGACUUAAUAUCUGGCACAUGGUGUCAUCCUCCUUAAUAAAAUUAGAAUUCAGAAACUUGGAAGGUUACCAAUAAAAUGCACCUGGUGAGGAGGGGGAGUUGUAUUAGAAAGCUUGAUUGUCUGCCAAAAUUCACCUCCCUGAGGAAUUUCCUGCCAUUCAUUUCAACUACCACUGCUUGUGUGUCUGGAAGGUUGAUGCAUACAGCUAUCACAGUUGUAAACAAAUACUUCCCUUAACGUCUCACUAUUCUGAUUCAGGCUGAAAACAUCAAGUAAAACAGACCAAAG
RNAcentral lists this long non-coding RNA (1149 nucleotides) under Marmota monax (woodchuck). The record is from RNAcentral. Lineage: Eukaryota; Metazoa; Chordata; Mammalia; Rodentia; Sciuridae.